GCGCUCGUAGCUCAAUUGGAUAGAGUGGCUGGCUUCGAACCAGCAGGUUCCAGGUUCGAGUCCUGGCGGGCGCA
RNAcentral lists this transfer RNA (74 nucleotides) under Phycisphaerae bacterium. RNAcentral's name for it is "tRNA-Arg". It matches the Rfam family "tRNA". From Rfam's summary of the family: Transfer RNA (tRNA) molecules are approximately 80 nucleotides in length. Their secondary structure includes four short double-helical elements and three loops (D, anti-codon, and T loops). Further hydrogen bonds mediate the characteristic L-shaped molecular structure. tRNAs have two regions of fundamental functional importance: the anti-codon, which is responsible for specific mRNA codon recognition, and the 3' end, to which the tRNAs corresponding amino acid is attached (by aminoacyl-tRNA synthetases). tRNAs cope with the degeneracy of the genetic code in two manners: having more than one tRNA (with a specific anti-codon) for a particular amino acid; and 'wobble' base-pairing, i.e. permitting non-standard base-pairing at the 3rd anti-codon position. RNAcentral also lists the same sequence under 1 other name. The record is from RNAcentral. Lineage: Bacteria; Pseudomonadati; Planctomycetota; Phycisphaerae.